AUUGCUCUUACAAUAAAGACUCUGCAAGAUCUCACCCACAGUCUGGCUCCUAACUUGGUCUCCAGCCUCAUUUCGCUCCGUUCUCCUUCCUGCUCCCAAUGCUGUCUAUGCUGCAGCCUUCUUAUGGUUCCUCAAAUAAGCCAUGGUCCCUCCUGCCAUAGGACCUUGCACACACACGCUGUCUCCUCUACCUGCAAUUCUCCUAGCCACAUCUCCACCCAGUUAACAACUACCCAUCUUCAAAUUCCAGCCUAAGCAUCAUCAGUACCUCAGGGAAGCCUUCCUUGACCACACAUCCCACAUCUAGGACAGGUUCCUCAGUGACAUGAUCUCACAGAAUGAGCUCCUUUCCUCAGGGCAUCUAUCUCAUCGUCUCAUUUAGAAUUAUACCCUCAUGUCUGUGAUUCUUUGGUUGAUCUGUCUCCCCACUUAGACCACAGACUUCAAGAAGGCACAGAUGAAGUCUGGUUUUGCUCCUCAUCCUUCUCCUAGCUCCUAGUAUAGUUCCUGGCAGAUAGUAAGCACCCAAUUUGCUAAAUAGAUGGAUAGAUGAAUGGAUGGAUGGAUGGAUGGAUGGAUGAGUGAAUGAACAAAGAAAAAGAGAGAAUUGCUGACUUUGGUUGGGUGGCUUGAAGUUUCUUGGAGUUAAAAUGUAGAAACGGGGAAUUAAAACCAGAGACGGUUUGGUGGAAACUGUACAAGGUGGCAACUAUUAAAGAGACUUUCUCCCUAACCACUGGCAAGAGAAGGACAGGGGAGGCCCCAAAGUGGCAUCGGCAGGCACAGCAUGGCCGCCACCCUCCCCACAGAGGACCAAAAUACCCAAGUGCCAGGCCCUAGAGCAAAUGAGAAUUUUCACUUCAUAAUCAAGAGGAAAUACUGUGGAAUUAAAGUUGAAGUAUAUGCUUGAAUUGGAUUUUAUUCUCCAGGGCCCUAAAGUUAACCAACUGGAAUCAUUUUUUGAGGACCACUCUAUUUAACCUUCGGAAAUGAAGCAUCUGCCUUUUAAUGGAAAAACCACUGCUUGUUGUAAAGGUGCUCUUCUAAGAAUACUCAAGUUGGUCAGUGUCCCAUUAAAACUCAGGAAUGCAGACCUUGACACAGAACUUCUGACUGAGAUGUCACUUCGGUUUUCUUGUGCUUCCUCAGCACUUCUACCCUGGCUUCCCUGGUGAACGGCGGGCAAGAAGUUUGAUACUCCUCCAGGCUUUUUCUUCUGCGCCAAAAACCCA
RNAcentral lists this long non-coding RNA (1232 nucleotides) under Equus caballus (horse). RNAcentral's name for it is "lncRNA (ENSECAG00000049105.1)". The record is from RNAcentral. Lineage: Eukaryota; Metazoa; Chordata; Mammalia; Perissodactyla; Equidae.